RNAcentral lists this ribosomal RNA (492 nucleotides) under uncultured bacterium. RNAcentral describes it as "partial 16S ribosomal RNA". It matches the Rfam family "Bacterial small subunit ribosomal RNA", at positions 29 to 507 of the family's 1533-position model. The record is from RNAcentral.
AGUGAACGCUGGCGGUAGGCCUAACACAUGCAAGUCGAACGGCAGCACAGUAAGAGCUUGCUCUUACGGGUGGCGAGUGGCGGACGGGUGAGGAAUACAUCGGAAUCUACUUUUUCGUGGGGGAUAACGUAGGGAAACUUACGCUAAUACCGCAUACGACCUACGGGUGAAAGCAGGGGAUCUUCGGACCUUGCGCGAUUGAAUGAGCCGAUGUCGGAUUAGCUAGUUGGCGGGGUAAAGGCCCACCAAGGCGACGAUCCGUAGCUGGUCUGAGAGGAUGAUCAGCCACACUGGGACUGAGACACGGUCCAGACUCCUACGGGAGGCAGCAGUGGGGAAUAUUGGACAAUGGGAGCAAGCCUGAUCCAGCCAUACCGCGUGGGUGAAGAAGGCCUUCGGGUUGUAAAGCCCUUUUGUUGGGAAAGAAAAGCAGCAGGUUAAUACCCCGCUGUUCUGACGGUACCCAAAGAAUAAGCACCGGCUAACUUCGUG